AUUGAACGCUGGCGGCAUGCCUUACACAUGCAAGUCGAACGGUAACAGGUUAAGCUGACGAGUGGCGAACGGGUGAGUAAUGUAUCGGAACGUGCCCAGUCGUGGGGGAUAACUGCUCGAAAGAGCAGCUAAUACCGCAUACGACCUGAGGGUGAAAGCGGGGGAUCGCAAGACCUCGCGCGAUCGGAGCGGCCGAUAUCAGAUUAGGUAGUUGGUGGGGUAAAGGCCUACCAAGCCUACGAUCUGUAGCUGGUCUGAGAGGACGACCAGCCACACUGGGACUGAGACACGGCCCAGACUCCUACGGGAGGCAGCAGUGGGGAAUAUUGCGCAAUGGGCGAAAGCCUGACGCAGCGACGCCGCGUGGGUGAUGAAGGCC
RNAcentral lists this ribosomal RNA (379 nucleotides) under uncultured bacterium. Its description in RNAcentral is "bacterial SSU rRNA". It matches the Rfam family "Bacterial small subunit ribosomal RNA", at positions 29 to 416 of the family's 1533-position model. The record is from RNAcentral.